Molecule: ribosomal RNA, 202 nt
Filed under: uncultured bacterium
Lineage: Bacteria
Description: partial 16S ribosomal RNA
Rfam family: Bacterial small subunit ribosomal RNA
Source: RNAcentral
GACGAACGCUGGCGGCGCGCUUAACACAUGCAAGUCGAGCGAGAACCAGGACUUCGGUCCUGGGGACAGCGGCGAACGGGUGAGUAACACGUGGGUAAUCUGCCCUCGAUUCUGGGAUAGCCCGGGGAGACUCGGAUUAAUACCGGAUAGCCUUUCAAGCUUUCGGGCGUGAAAGAAAAGGUAGCUUCGGCCUCCGAUCGAG